GAACAGCUCAAAGAGAUUUACAAUGUAUAGUCAAACAAAAAAGAGCUAAAACACUUGAGUGAGCUGAUUUCACAACAUGCCUUUGAAAUAAAUAUGGUUUUAGCGAGUGUUUAGCAGUUAAGAACUGUGGCCUGUUGUCUUUUGGGAGGGAAUUACUUUCCAUUCUCUGUAAAUCCCACUGGGGAAAAAGCAACAACACCUCUGAAAUAAGAGGCAGUCACUCCAGGUUUCAUUCUUCCUCAGACAAGCCAGCAAUGACUUUGGAGAAGAAAAUUUGGGGCACAUACAAGUUGUAAAUGGUUUAUAAAAGGGCAAGUUACACUCUGCAGUCUGACGCUAUUGUUUUGGAAGAUCAGGAUCAUCGGGCAAAGCUCACGGAGACAAAGAAACUUCCACCAGACCUCCAUCCUUUAGUAAACCAGUGAGAUUGAGUUUCCCUGACUUUGCUCCACCCUGUUGAUAGGAGAGACAGAAGCUGAUUUUUAGUUACAGCUACAAGACUUUUUAUGGAUCGUGUUCUGUAUUCUCAUGAGCAAAGAAGUCAGAUAUCAAAUCAUGCACUUCAUUGAGACAAGUGAGAAUGCUAAUGGAUAACUUCGUCUGGGUAUUACAGAUCUCCUUGGCUGCUUCUGAGGAUAGACAGUGGCUUAUGUUGUUGGUUGCAGCACUGUACCCUACUGGAGAACAACUUGUCUGUACACAGACAUCUAAACCUUUGGGUUCAGAAGAGAGAAAAUGCAAGGCAUGACUCAGUGAGGAUUCUUCGCCAUGCCUCAUUACAAGAGCAGAGGGCAGAGUGAUCAGAGCCUCAGGGUGUAACGUGCGCCUGCCGUCUGCUGCCGCCGCUAUCGUCUUUGACUACACAGAGCUCACUGCCACUGCAGACGGUGACUGUGGUUAACUCUUCACGGUUACACACACAAAUAGCCUAAAGGAGCCAGAUCUGCACCUGCUCUUCUCUUUACCCUAGGCAAACACUUGCAGGAGGACAGGGGGUUAGAGAGUUCAGGAGAUACGGAUGAAUAGAAAGAGUAUCAAAGAGGAGGGGUGCUUGCUCUUCAUUCAGUACACCUGGUUAAAUGCACAAUGCAAUGAUAUGACUGACUGACUGACUAGUGAUUGAGUUCUAGUCUUUCUGCAGCUGUGGAAUGUAUGUGAAAAAGAACAAACGAAAAAACAACAAUGGCUUUUAAUAAGCUUUUUAAUAAUCAUAGAAUAUUAUAAGAUAUACAUUUUGUUGUAUUUUUUGUUAUCAUUUGUUUUGUUUACAAUGGGGUCCAAAAUUCUGACACCACACUGAAAAUCUCUGGGAGGAAAUCAGAGUGACAUGAGGGCGAGUAAAAGAUGACUUUGAUGAUUACAGGUGAACGAGUCCUUUUGAUUUAGUAAUAUAAUACUUAAGAGACAAUCCAGUAUAAUAGUCCAUAACACUGUUUAUGACCUGUUAAUGGAAAUAUUUAAUAAAAUGUGAUGAAAAUCAUCUCUCUGGCAAAGCAUAACAUUAGAUAUAAAACAAAUGAGAUUUCUCAAAGGAUAUUUUAGAUUUCCUCAGGUUGGAAUCCACUAAGCUCUUUUUGAUAUUACACAUGAAUACACACUCUGAAGGAGGGAGGAAGACAAGAAUACAAGAUACUUAUUGACUAGUGUUAAUUAAACGCAUGGCUAAGCAUAUACUUGGGUUGGGUGGCUUCUCAACCGACUGCUUACUAACUCCUCCGCUCCUUUUGAUUAUUUAAGAAGACAGUAAAUUUUACAAACCUUUGUUCAGCAGUAAUAAUUCAGAUUUCUUCAUUACAUUCUUACAAGUUCUUUUCCUCUGUCUGUUCAAACAGUAAUCACUCAUCUUAUAUUUAACUUAGGUGUUGGCUUUGCUCAGAUUUUAUUUGUUUUUACAGUCCAACAGGCCUCCAUACUGAGGAAUGUUAAAUGGUUUAUUGGUAUUUUCUACAUUACUGAAUUGAAGUAGAUAUGGAAAAACCAGUGUAAACACAGACAAAAACAUUUUUUUCUUUUUCUCUUCAUUCUCUCUCUCUAUAUAUAUAAAUAUUGUAAUGGUGGAGUCAUGACACCAGAGUUGUGUAUCCAAAUGCUAGCUUUAGUAAAAGAGCAUUGUCAAAUAGGCAGGGUAAAUCACCAGCAAACAAUAACAUCCAACAAUAAACCAAGAGAGUAAUCCAACAAACAGGCGGAAGGUCAGGACAGAUAGCAAACAAUAAAAACACAGAAACAGUCCAAGAUCAAAAAAUACUAAGGGAAGGAAACAAGGGACCACGUAAACUGGGAAAACAUUACAGAAUUACAAUCAUCAAUGAUGUGAGAGUGUGUGAGUGCCAUUCUUAUAGUGUGUGUCUGAUGAGGUGAUGUAAGGCAGGUGACUACAACUGGUGAUUGCUAAUGAGUCCGGGCAAAGGAUUAUG
This is a long non-coding RNA of Cyprinus carpio carpio, 2417 nucleotides long. NCBI's taxonomy places the organism in Eukaryota, Metazoa, Chordata, Actinopteri, Cypriniformes, Cyprinidae. The record is from Ensembl.